AGGACUUGGGAUUCCACAGGGUGGUGAGGAGGGGCCUGCCCCAGGGAAGAGCAGAGGACAGUGGGAAAUCCGGGACAAAGGAAGUGAGGGCUACUGCUAUUUAUACUAGCGCACGCAAAAGAAGCACCCAACAGUUCGCGGUCAAAGGGACGCUCCUGUCACUUGUGGCUGUGUGACCUCAUUCAAGAUACACUACUUCUCUGAGCCUCACAAAACACUGGGCUGCUACGAGGAACACAGAGGAUGGGGGUGCCAGGGAUUUGUGAACUAAGAAAUCAAAGGAGACGCGGUUGAGGAAUGUACAGUCACAGCCCCAGCCCCAGCCAAAGGGUGUGUGAUGCGGGCUUGUCAGUCAACACAUCUGGGUGGUGCUUCUCCUCAGGAGACGGGGGUGUGGUGCCGACUGGUCCUUCAGCAGCUCUCGGCCCCUGCAUGAUCUUGUAAAUUAUUAUGAUCACUCACCACUCCCACUCACCACCCCCAGAGGCGUCCUUCCCAAAACAAUGCAUUAUCCUCAAGCUGUGGAUCCCACCCACACACUCCUGUGCACAGAUGUGGCUUCAAAUAAUCCAGCUGCUGCUCGUGGCCAAGAGAACGUCCCACCAACCAGAGUUCCCAGAUGAGUGUCAACCCAAGGUCACACCGCAUAUGCGCAUUGAGAGGCUGCACUUGAGCUCAGGUAUUGAUAUCUGGGCCGACUGUGUGGCCAAGAAGCCUGAGAAGCCUCUCUAGGCCACUGGAGGAAGGCUGUGCCCAAAGGAGGAGGUGCCUAUUGUGAGGAUGGGUGGUGGUGGGGAAGGGCAUUCUGGGAAGGGCUAACAGGCCCGGACUGGAGGAAUCAGCACUGGAGGAAUCAGUCUGUAAGGGACUGGGUGGGUGGCUGAGGAGGGCAGCAAGGAUCACGGAGCCUGUGAACUCUUCCAGGCUAGCAGCCAGCUUGCUCUGCCUGGCAUCAAACUGCCCUUUGGAGGCCCGGUUUGACCUUGCUUUCCUUGAGCUCAUCCAGGGACCCACUCAGUGUCUGGCUAAGCACAGAACUGCUUACUCAGCAGCCAGUGAGACCCAUGGCUCUGUUUGCUUUGUGAUUCGGUAAGGCUAUGCAGCAUGGACCAGUGGCCCCUAGCAGAGGAAGAGAGUCAGAAAACAGGCCGAGAGCCUGGGUGGCUGUCUGCCCAUAUCUUUAAGAUAUACUUUCCCCCACGGAGAAUCACGAUGCAGUGGCUUACCAAAAAACCCCACAAAAGUCUGCAGCAGAUACCUAAUUGGUUGUUUCUUCCAGUACCUCUAAUUUUGUUUAAUGAAGAGAUUCCCCUUUCUGGAUGCCAUGUCUGUUUUCCAAGAAAAGAAAGCCCAGUGAGCCAUAUCUGGGAAACACUAUGUGAUGCAAGCUCUCGCUCCUAUAAGAUGAGGUCCCUGGAAGAAAGUCUGGCCACAGGUACCCAGCAGAGAACAGCAGUCAUCUCACUGUGGGCCUCUCCUACAAGACCAUGAAUAGCAGGUGUUCAAAGGGCGACCCAGAUGAGCUCAAGGGUUCUCACUGGAGAGACCUAAGUCCUCAGAUCAGGGACUGAGACCAGCCACCUGGGCCAGGGAGAUGAGAGAUGCCAGGGAGGCAGAACCUGUCUUCCCUCUGGUCUCCGGAGCUCGAGAGAGAGAGAGAGACAGCAGAGACCAGUAAGUAAGGGGGAGUCCAGCUCAGCACUGCCACUGAGUGACCUGGGUGCCCGCGGAGGGAAGGAGAAACCGAAGACUUAAAGCUUCCACCUCAGGACCUGCCCAGAGCGGCUCAGCUGCUUCUGCUUCCUCCCUCGGGCCUAGGCCAGCACUGGCUGGCCUGGCUCUGCCUGCAGCCAGCCCUAAGGCAGCUGGGCCACUUGUACCCUGUUCGGGGAGAUGAAAGGGCUGCUCCCCACACAGUUACCCUUCUGCAGAGCUUGCCAGGCCCUGGGGUUGCCAAGACAACUGCUGCCAGCAGAAUGGAGAUCCGGGGUGGGGGCAGGGGGCGUGCCAGCCCGCCCCUGGCCUACUAACCUGGCAGGCAGAUUUAAAUGACAGCCCAGGAAGCUACUAUUAAACUGUCACCCCAGUCAACAGGACGACAGACUAAGAGUGUUCUCUGGCUGAAGCCACAACACAGCGGGAGCGCGAGGGGGAGGAGACAGUGGCCUGGAGCAGCCUGUACCCCCUUCCAGGAGGCCCCGGCCUGCAGGCUUGUCCACCCACUGCCAGAAACACCCUCGCGGGCUAGGGUGGCUCCUGGCACGGAGCUGCCACACCACACAGCGCAGGGCCUGGCAAGUGUUACUCUUCACACUUGAGCAGAGAAACCCUUUUCCCAAGUGAAACCCCAACACAGAAAAUAGGUAAAAAUGGAGCUGCGGGGUGGAAACGGCAAAACGUGGGGAAUCCUGUCCCCUGUUUCCCCUCAACAGUCCCGCAGGAACCUUCAGGAAAUGCUGGGACUUGGGAGCUACUGUGUGGUUCAGCAGCUCUGGGUUCAGAUCCUUACCCCUCCUCAGGCCUGCGACGUUCCCGUGAGCCCCGAGUUUAAAGAUCCCAUGGGCCUGACAUUUCAAACAGCUUCCCUGUGUCUCGGGCACUAACUCUCUCAGGAUUCCUAGUUUUAGGGCCUCAGCCUGACUUGCACACCCUAAGCUCCUAGGACUCUAACGGUCACUGCCAGUCAGAGGCGUCAGGAAACAGUGGACGGCAUUGACUGCGCCCCUGUUUCCCUGGGUCCAGGCAGCCACACUCUGACAACCCACAGCUCCAGGCUCUCGGGGGUACUGCAGACUCCCUGGAGUCCUAACACAAUCAAGAGUGGCAUGUAGGCUCAAGCCCUUGGCUCCGUGCUGCCUAGCUGGCCGCAGGACUCAGGCCACCACUAUCCAUCAGCAGGUGACAUUCAAGACAUGAGUCCUUUUUCCUCCCACCUGGGGAGAAUGAGGAAGACUCCACAGUUGCUGAGGAGGCCAGAGAUAAGUGGAGAGAUCCUCUCAUGGUGGGGAUCACUUAUGUGACGUCCUCUUUGCUGUUAAGUUGGGAAAAGUUUCCCCUCUCCUGCCCAGUUCACUACAGAUUACACAUUCUACCCAGGGCACAUCAGGAGUCAAACAAAAUGUCCCCAAACACGGAGGCAACAAAAUGAGGGAGGGAGGGGCCAGGAGGCCAGAGAGGGACCAUGUGGGAGACACCUGCAAGGACACCCUCAUGGGGGGUAGGGGUGGAACUGGGCCUGGAGUGCCAAGAUUGCCUAGUGACCUGUGGCUGUGGCAGACAUCACCAAUGUUACUCCCUGAGGAUUCGGGACCACUGUCUCCCAGUAAAGAGAUGGGUCUUCCUGCCAUCCUCUUAGAGGAAGGUACCAUCACCAGGGGAUAGAUGAGAGUCCCAGAGAGAGACUUGAACAAAACAUCACUCAGCAGGGUCUGAGCCUAGACAUGAGCCCAUACCUCUCUCUCUGACCCAGGCUCUUUCCUCAGUGUGCUCAGCCUAGGAACUCCCUCAGAGAAUCUCUAGCCCCACAUCCCUCACUAGCAAGGUGGACUCUUCUACUCUGGGUCUUAGUUUCCUCAUCAGAAUCAACUUUUAAAGACUCUGUGACUUAAGAUUUUCUGUGCUCCAAGGCUCUCCAAAAGGGUCACCCAGGGCUUCCCUCCCUUCAGAUCCAGUACAUCCCAGUUGCUCUCGCACACUUGGUCUGGCUGUCACCAGGGAGGUCCAAGCUCUCUCUAGGGUAUGUGGGACUCCCAGUCGCCACAGGAAAGAUGAGCAGCUCUGAGGGUAGACAACAAAGGCAUCUUCUUGUCCCAGUGAUUUGUAGAAGCAGGCAGUAUUGAGCCAGUGACAGCUGGGGGUGGGGGAGGGGUACGCAGGAGAGCAGUGGAUAGGAUGGGAUCAGCAGGGGUCUUGGGCUGGUGCCUGCCAAGGCCCCAAACCCAAUGUCUGCAUGGUGCUUGGAGACACAGGUGUACACCUCAGGAACACCAUCUCCUAAGGAGCAGAUCAGCCCCAUCCUGGAAUGUGGACUGCCCGCUUGGCACUAGGAUUCUAGGUCCCAGGGAAACAGCUAGAAGAAAACUCUAGGCAUCCUCAAAGUAGAAGCUUCCAGAGAGCAGGAGGCAAGGUUGGGAAAUCCUUUUAGACCAGGGAUUCUAGCCCAGGGUCCUGCCUGGCUCCAGCUUCACAAUCCCCAAUGGGGCAGAGGAUACCUGAUUUGCCUUAGCCUCCUCUAACCAGGAACCUUCCUACCUAAGCCCAGAUAAGCCACCUGAAGCCUCUAAGAGGUCUGUGGUUCUGCCUGUGUGCAUGCGCUUGCGCUUGCGCUUGCGCUUGCGCUUGCGCUUGCGCUUGCGCGCGCGCACACACACACACACACACACACACACACACACACACACACACACACACACACUGUUCAGGCCUGCCAAGGUCCCUUGCAUUUGGGUACUUGUUCUUCCUGCCCUAGGCCUCCUGGUGGGGGGAGGGGCAGCUCCCCUGCAGUUCCGAGGCUCUAGACUGCAUUCUAGUCUUACUCUGCCAACAUGCUGAGGGACCCUUGAGCAGGCUUCUUUAGGCCCAAGGCCCUACCAGCUGCCAGUGGAAAGCCCAGCGUUCCCAGAGCAGAACUUGGCAGCCAGUGUCACGGAAGCCAGGCUCCAGGAGCCCAAGGAUCCCCGGUGCAAAGGAGUACAGGAUGGAGUGGCUAACCUCUCCCGCAGGAGGUCACCCCUAGGCAGUGGCUGCUCGUGCUGGGAAGAGCCAUUGGCUGAGUAGAAGAUACAUGCUUCACCCAUUAGCCCAGGAGCUGGAAGCAUCCCUGUGAGCCCAGGGGCUCAUUCAACAGCAACAUGUGUUCCUGGGAAAUCUGCUUCCUGCUGCUGGGCCUGCUGCCUCUGUGAGUGGACCUCGGUGCUGGGCUCUCACUUCUUGCUAGCACGUCUAGAGCAGGCAGGACCCAGGAGCCUGUCACCCCCAGAUCACACUCGCCAUCUAAGGGGUCUCUCUGUUUAAGGUAUGGCUCUGAGAAACUGGGGGGCCCUGUGGUAGGGAUGCUACUGGCUGAGAGAGAGAGAGAGAGUUAGUUCAUGCCACUAGGGAUGUGUGGAGGUCUGAGGACAAUUGACAGGAGCCAGUUCUCUCCAUGUACCAUAUGGGUCCUGGGGUUUGAACUCAGAUCAUUAGGCCUGAUGGCAAGUACCCUUUCUGACUGAAUCUUCUUGCUGGCCCCUACUGGCUCCACACAAACUAUUCCAUUAAAAAAGAAAGAGAGGAAGAAAGAAAGAGAGGAAGAAAGGAAGGAAGGAAGGAAGGAAGGAAGGAAGGAAGGAAGGAAGGAAGGAAGGAAGGAAGGAAGGAAGGAAGAAAGACUACUAAACACAUUCCAUGAAGCCAGCAUUACCCUGAUACCAAAGCCAGCCUCAGCAGUUGGGAUAGGCCAGCUCCAAGGAAUGCGGUGGAAGACCUGCCAUGCAGUGACACACAGCUAUCAAUCUGUCAGCACCAGACAGAGAGCCGCUGCACAGCUUCCACGCUGGAAAGACGAAGGACCUCUCCCAGCCAGGACCAGCCUGGCAACAGCAGCAGAGGACACUCACCUCCCCUCUCUGGACCAGCUUUAGGACACGGAGCCAGGCAGUCUCCAAAGUCCCCUUUCUGCAGACAAGCGCAGUAUCGGAGAGGAAGGAGCAGGAGAGGAAAGGCCGCCCGCCCGAAAAGGAAGACUUUGGAUACACCUCUGAGAAAGGGGUGGCCUGGGUUAGGACAGACCUCUCACUGAGGUCCCACAUACACGUUGGCAAAUCGCA
Molecule: non-coding RNA, 5807 nt
Organism: Peromyscus maniculatus bairdii (prairie deer mouse)
Lineage: Eukaryota; Metazoa; Chordata; Mammalia; Rodentia; Cricetidae
Source: RefSeq, a predicted model, not a curated record